CGCAGCAGUAGAAUCAUCCCUGCAGCCCCAAUAAAAAGAUGCUGUACCUCAUUUCCAGACCAAUGCCAGCUGCGAGGAGGUUGCCGAUUGAAGCGAGUGGGGAAUCUGAGCAUGUGGAGGCAGACAGACAGGGUGAGCAGGAGAAUCAUGGGUUGUGGAAGAGUGUUACUGACACAAAUACGACUGGGAGGAAAUCUGACUUGGCACUAUGGAAACACGCCCCCCUUCCGUUUCCUAGUAAAACUCCCAGAAUACCAGACUGUGCUCAUGGCAGGGGCUGUCCCCUGAGCUGUAACUGUCCAUCAGGAGAAGUGAACAUAACCAAAUCCCCGAUCAGUCUUCACUGUCCACUGCUCCUCGUCUCUGCUUGUGUACAGUACAUUAUACUACCAGGAACACUUCUGAUUGUUAAUCUGAGGUGA
RNAcentral lists this long non-coding RNA (422 nucleotides) under Oncorhynchus kisutch (coho salmon). RNAcentral's name for it is "lncRNA (ENSOKIG00005040313.1)". The record is from RNAcentral. Lineage: Eukaryota; Metazoa; Chordata; Actinopteri; Salmoniformes; Salmonidae.